GGAAAGGCGCGCGAUACAGGGUGACAGCCCCGUACACAAAAAUGCACAUGCUGUGAGCUCGAUGAGUAGGGCGGGACACGUGGUAUCCUGUCUGAAUAUGGGGGGACCAUCCUCCAAGGCUAAAUACUCCUGACUGACCGAUAGUGAACCAGUACCGUGAGGGAAAGGCGAAAAGAACCCCGGCGAGGGGAGUGAAAAAGAACCUGAAACCGUGUACGUACAAGCAGUGGGAGCACGCUUAGGCGUGUGACUGCGUACCUUUUGUAUAAUGGGUCAGCGACUUAUAUUCUGUAGCAAGGUUAACCGAAUAGGGGAGCCGAAGGGAAACCGAGUCUUAACUGGGCGUUAAGUUGCAGGGUAUAGACCCGAAACCCGGUGAUCUAGCCAUGGGCAGGUUGAAGGUUGGGUAACACUAACUGGAGGACCGAACCGACUAAUGUUGAAAAAUUAGCGGAUGACUUGUGGCUGGGGGUGAAAGGCCAAUCAAACCGGGAGAUAGCUGGUUCUCCCCGAAAGCUAUUUAGGUAGCGCCUCGUGAAUUCAUCUCCGGGGGUAGAGCACUGUUUCGGCAAGGGGGUCAUCCCGACUUACCAACCCGAUGCAAACUGCGAAUACC
RNAcentral lists this ribosomal RNA (616 nucleotides) under Escherichia coli. RNAcentral's name for it is "partial 23S ribosomal RNA". It matches the Rfam family "Bacterial large subunit ribosomal RNA", at positions 344 to 964 of the family's 2925-position model. The record is from RNAcentral. Lineage: Bacteria; Pseudomonadati; Pseudomonadota; Gammaproteobacteria; Enterobacterales; Enterobacteriaceae.